Chlorocebus sabaeus (green monkey) is the source of this 4545-nucleotide non-coding RNA. NCBI's taxonomy places the organism in Eukaryota, Metazoa, Chordata, Mammalia, Primates, Cercopithecidae. The record is from RefSeq and is a predicted model, not a curated record.
CUUGGUUCGGCUUCCUUGCUCCUCAGCUUACAGAUGGCCUAUUGUGGGACUUCACCUUGUGAUGGUGUGAGUGAAUUCUCCUAAUAAACUCCCCUCCAUAUACUCAUCUGUCCUGUGAGUCCUGUCCCUUUAGGGAUCCCUGAAUAAUACAACCACUGUCUUAUGAAGGCCGGAUCAUGUCACGGAUGUGACGUUUGUAACACCUCUGAGCCGCUCAAGAAAUGUAGACUCUUCCUUUUAAACCUCCACCCACCCGUGUCCCCCUUCAGGUGUGGGCUCAGAAAUCACACAAUGAAGGCAGACUCUGAAUUUGGAAAGUAAACUUUCUUAUCCUCACGGGCUAGAUUUUUACAUUGUAAAAUAAGAAAGAAAAUCUGUUUUGAUUAAACUGAUGUCUUGAUGUUGAAGCGAAAGAGAUGCUGUGGCCGCGUCCCUGUGGCCAGUGCCGCCUUCUUGUCUCUCGUGAGCACAGUUCCGUGCCGCCUUCUUCACAGACAUCCCCUCUGCCCUCGGAUACAGCUUUUCUUUUAAGGUAUGCUUGAAUUUUAAACGGAAAAUAACCUUUGGUUUGUUAGAGACACACGGAUGUUAGUUCAGGCACACGUUUGGAGUUGAAGCCAAGUUGGGUCUGACUGGUGUGAGCUGAAUGCUUCAGUGUUCAGGGUCCGGCUUUGUGGAGACCCUGUUGGGGUGAUGGGCUCCCGUCGGGACUCACGCAUGGUUCAGCUGUUACUUUUUUGGCUUUGUUUUGUCUUUUUCACCAAGUCCAUUUCUUCCAUCCCUGACCCUGGCUACAGUGGAGUUGCAGGAAAGAGGUGGAGGAGCCUGGGCUCGACUGCGGCUGGUGGGGCAGCCUCGGGGUCACGGCGCAGGGAGGCGUCCGGGGCGGACGGAGCAGGAAACAUUUCUCCAUGUGCAGGUUUCUCUGGGGUCCGCUGUCAGCUUUAUUGUCUCCUCACUUGAUGCUGCCUCUGAAUUUAUCCUACUUUUCCUCAUCUUAAACUGUGAUCUCUGAUUAUUUUCCAAAAGCCCCAGCAUGUCUCCUUUAGACCCAUUUGCUCUGGGCAUUCCUCCGCAGUGCUGCCGCGCUCACACUCCGGACUCUGAGCCAGCCCAAGCGUUUCCUUCCCGGGCUGUGGCCUCCUCUCCCUGACUUGUCACCUGCAACUCCCAGAGCCUGAGCGGGAACUGUGGCGCCCUCCUGCAAGCUCAUCCUCCACCUCCUCAGCCUCCCCACCCCUCUCUGUUCCUUAUUUCACUUCUGCAGAUUGUACUUUUUUUUUUUUUUUUUUUUUUUUUUUUUAACCAGUUUCUGUGUCUCAAAUGCCCCCGAGUCUAACCUUCCAUCCAGCUCCCGCUGGUCUCACUGUGAUGCCCACACGCCCUCCCCGCGUCCCCUGCAAUCUCACCUGUCCUGUGCCCGGGCACUCGUACAGCCUGGCACAGAGGCAGAGAGGCCAGAGCCUGUCGUCCUGUAGAGUUGGAGUCACAUCUGUGCCUGCUGAGGCCCCCUUCUGUUCUUAGAAGCCCUUGACACAGCUGUGGGUGCCCCAUGCUCUCCCAUUUGCUGCCUUAGGGGAUCCCCCAAAUUGCGAAAAUGUUUACGUACUCAUUUAGUUCAAAAUACUUUUGAAAUUCUCUUUUGAUUUUUGUCAUUGAUUCAUGGGUUGUCGAAAGUUAGUGUGCUGUUUGGUUUUCAAAUAUUUGAGGUCUUUCUUAAAAUCUUUCUUUUAUUGAUUUCCAGUUUAAUACCGCAUGGACAGAGGAAAUACUUUACGUGGCUUGAAUGGAUUGCUUUUGCUUUGAGUUCUGUGUCCACCUGAAAAGAAUGCAGACUCUGCUGUUGGCGGCACAGGAUCUGAGAAACAUGUCGCGUUGGUUGGGAGUGUCCUUGAGUCUUCCGCAUCCUUAUGUGGUGUGUGUUUGUCUUUUCCAGGAUUGAGGGCGGCAUUGAAAUCUCUGAUCAUACCUCUAGGUUUUCUCUUUUCCUUGUAAUUCUAUCAGUUUUUUCUUUUAUUUUGAAGCUACUUUAUUAGGUUAGGAUUAUUACGUCCUCUUAAUGAGUAGACACCUUUAUUGUAAUGACAUGGUGGUCUUUAUUCCCGGGAAUACUUUUUGCUUUGAAAUAUACUUUGUCGGAAAUUAAUGUAGCCACUCUAGCUUUCUUUUGUUAGUGUUAGGAUAGUAUAUCUUUUAAAAUUAUUUUUUUAAACCUAUCUGAGUCUCCUUGUUUGAAGUGCAUUUCUUAUAGGCUGUAUGUAGUUGCAUCUUGAUCUUUUAUCCAAUUUGACUAUGUCUGCAUUUUAAUGUGUAGGUUUAGACCAUUCAUAUUUAAUGUGAUUAUUAAUGUGAUUAUGUUUAAAACUCUGUCUUGCUUAUUCAUUUUCUAUUUGCUCCUUCUGAUCUUUCUUUUCUUUUUAUUUUUCUGCUUUCUUUUGACUCCAUUAGAUAUUUUCUGUAUUUCCAUUUAUCAUCUUUUUUUUUUUUUUUUUUUGGCUUCUUAGGUGUAACUCUUUGUUUAGUUAAUCUGAGGUUUCCUUAAUUUAAAGUAUAAAGCCUUAACCAUGGUAUUCUACCGUUGAGUGAUAGGAUGCCACUUCAUCUUACAAUAGCAAACUUCCAUUUCUCCUCUCCAGGCUGGGUGCUAUUACUGUCAUGCGUUUUACUUUUACGGUGUUAUGAUCUAAUUGUUUGUUUUCUGCCCCCCAAAUUCAUAUGUUGAAAGCCUCUCUCCUAAGAUGAUGGUGUUCAGAGGUGGGACCAUCAGGAGAUGAUGAGGUCAUGAGGGAAGAACCUCAUGACAGGAAUUAAUGCCCCCAUAAAAGAGACCUCAGGGCACUUGUUGGCACUUUCCACCAUGUGAGGGGCAGUGAGAAGGCACUGUCUAUGAGGAGGAGGCCCUCACCAGACACUGCCAGCACCUUCAUCCUGGACCUCCACCCUCCAGAACGAUAAGGAAACCGAGGCACAAAGAAGUUAAAAUGCCGAACAAAAGCACACAGUGGGUAAGUGGACCUGCAAGGCUUUGCACCUCAUCGAUCUGACUUCAGAUUCCAUCUUCGUCAGCACGGUGUCCGCCUCCACACCACAAAGCUGUAGCUGUAUAAGGACAGAAGAGGGAAGUGGGUUCUGCUACCACCAGCGAGCACUGGGAAGCAUCUUGAAGAAAAGCGGGGUGAGCUCUGUGGAGCCUUUCGGGGCAAAUUCAAGAGCAGAAGCCGUAUCUUUCUUACUAUGGACACUCGGGAACUGGAGAAAGGUUUCCUUCUCAAAUUUAUUGACUAGAACUCAGUUCUAAAUCAGCAUUUCAAAAAAGUUUCUUAUUUCUAUGAGAGGUAAUAUAUAUUAUAUUUCUAUUAAUGUGGCAUUAAUGCUUGUUUUUUUUCUUUUUUAGUCCCUGAGUGGUUUCAAAUGUGUGUUUUCAUGUACAAUUUAUAGUUCUGAAGAGUGUGUCAUUUCCAGAUAUUUCCUGACUGUCUCAUCAAUGCCCACAUCAUAAAAGUUAAUUUCAUGCCUAAGGAAUCUACACUGCCUUCCUUUUGGAAAAUGUUCUGCAGAUUCUAGCAAAGUCAACAGCCAAACCGUGAAUGUAAAGGCCGCCGUACAGACUACAGAAGCAGGCAGCUUGCCAUUGCCACGCUACCUUCUUUACAUUCAAGUGAUUUAUAUAAGAGCCAAAAAAAUGUACUUCACAUAGUAUUGGUCUUUCGCUGCCAUGCAGGGAUGAGCUGUCCAGAUGAUAAAUUAAGACAAUGAGAAAAUAAGGGAUUGGCUUCAAGAUUUGUGGUUGCCGACGGAAUUUCUUCAACAGAAAGGGAAGGAAACUGAAGUACGGAACUGGUGGGAUAUUAUUAUUUUUACUGUAAACCAUCCGAGCCUGUCAGGCCUAUAACUUCCAAAUGCAAUGUAUUAUGAUCUACCGUGUAAAACAAAAAGAUUCUGAACUUGAGUCAGUAAUAGCUGGUUUAUUCCAGGAUUCAAAUGUGAGUAACGUACCUCUCACCAACAGUAGUCAAAAUGAGAAGCCCGCUAUGCUGUGGAUUUAUGGCUCAUGGACUCUGGAUAAGUACUGCAUUUAAGUUAGUGGAGUGACAAAUAAUUGAAUUGGAAAAUCACGGCAUCCAGAAUGGAACUGCAUAAAAAUCUACUGGAGAGUUUCUGAAAAGAUGAAGAUUUCUGGGCCCUUAUCCCAGACUUUCUAUUUCAGGGGUCCCUGGAAGAGCCUGCAGGUUUGGCUUUUCCAUCUCAGGACUCUGUUGCAGGGUCUCUGCGUCCUGUCGCCUGGAGGUGCGCACUGACUAUGUGCAGAUAAGCCGCCGUCCCAUUGACCGCCCAACCCUCGGCUGCCUGUGCUCUGGGUCUCCACUCACUUGACCAGCAAGACUCACAUCCGGCAGUAAGGACUCCACCGGGAUGGGAACCCAGUGCUUAUUCUCGAACUCAGCAAUCCAGCGGUGCACCUGGCUCUGUUUCCAGCCUGGCCAAUGAUAUUCUAACCACGAAUUAUUACAUAUUACUAAUUAUUAAAUAUCAAAUGUAAUAUCU